UGGUCCACGCUGUAAACGAUGUCUACUUGGAGGUUGUUGUCUUGAAUGAUGGCUUUCGGAGCUAACGCGUUAAGUAGACCGCCUGGGGAGUACGGCCGCAAGGUUAAAACUCAAAUGAAUUGACGGGGGCCCGCACAAGCGGUGGAGCAUGUGGUUUAAUUCGAUGCAACGCGAAGAACCUCACCUGGUCUUGACAUCCUGCGAACUUUCUAGAGAUAGAUUGGUGCCUUCGGGAACGCAGUGACAGGUGCUGCAUGGCUGUCGUCAGCUCGUGUUGUGAAAUGUUGGGUUAAGUCCCGUAACGAGCGCAACCCUUAUCCUUAUUUGCCAGCACUUCGGGUGGGAACUCUAAGGAGACUGCCGGUGACAAACCGGAGGAAGGUGGGGACGACGUCAAGUCAUCAUGGCCCUUACGACCAGGGCUACACACGUGCUACAAUGGUAAGUACAGAGGGACGCGAAUCCGCGAGGUGGAGCUAAUCCCAGAAAACUUAUCGUAGUCCGGAUUGGAGUCUGCAA
RNAcentral lists this ribosomal RNA (519 nucleotides) under uncultured bacterium. RNAcentral describes it as "bacterial SSU rRNA". It matches the Rfam family "Bacterial small subunit ribosomal RNA", at positions 791 to 1310 of the family's 1533-position model. The record is from RNAcentral.